CAACAAUUGAAUUUAUUUCUAGAAUUAAAAUUAAUUUUGACUAGGGUUCAUCUCUUUAAAACCAGCUUUCUUUUGUCUGCCAUGGCAGAAAAGUUUUGGCUCAUUCUAUUUUCUUAGCAAAAUUUGACUCUCAAAUCUUAUAAUCAGAAAUAUGUAUAGCUAUUCUAAGGAAUCAUCUGCAAACUCAAGCACUUUGACUCAAAAAUUCAAAUUCGUUUGCUAUUUACAAUAAAGAUGACAGAGGUAAAAAGGUUCUCUUUUUUGUUUCCUCCAAGUUUUCACCAUUUCGGCAACCAAAUCCCUGCUUCUCCUGUCCAUACCGUCCUUUUUCUUUCUUCUACACGUCAUUUCAAACAGUUCUUUAACCAUUUGAAACCCUAGCCCUUCAAGAAUCCCGCUCAAAUUAACCCUAGAAAAGCCCUAGUAAUUCUUCUAUAAAUACAUAGGUUUGGUAAUAAUUUAGGACAACUAUUGGAGUCAUCUUCAAACAAUUUUAUUCUUCAAAACACUCUAAAAUUCUUAGUUGUGUGGCCUCUGUUACUCCUUGCUAUAACAGAGGAAUUUUUGUUUGCACUUUUUUCGAAAAUUAUAAAGUUCGCGGUUGUAAGAUCGAGUUCCAGUCCGAAGCCAGAAUGUAUAGAUCUAUUCGACGCGCCCAAGUUCGCUGCAUCGCAAAAGCCAACUUCUGUAGAAGCUAUGAAGUUACAGCAAUAUGAGUUUUAAUGCAAGACUGGCCCCGCCCCAGCAUGGAAUCGUUACUAUUGAGCCUUGGACUAUGAUGGACAUCUAGAAGAAGAACAAGCGAAAAGCUUGGGGUCGCUUACGGCAGCCUUCGUUAUUUACAUUUACUCUGUUUCGAAUUUUUAAUCAAUUUGAUUAUAUUCUUUUGAUUAGUUUAGUUCUACACUUAACCUGGGUUUGUUAAUUUAAUUUUGAUUUCUUCACUUACUAUUCUCACUUAGUUAUUAGCAGAUAUUAACUAUUUUAUA
Molecule: long non-coding RNA, 989 nt
Organism: Nicotiana attenuata
Lineage: Eukaryota; Viridiplantae; Streptophyta; Magnoliopsida; Solanales; Solanaceae
Exons: 2
Source: RefSeq, a predicted model, not a curated record